Molecule: ribosomal RNA, 493 nt
Filed under: uncultured bacterium
Lineage: Bacteria
Description: partial 16S ribosomal RNA
Rfam family: Bacterial small subunit ribosomal RNA
Source: RNAcentral
GAUGAACGCUAGCUACAGGCUUAACACAUGCAAGUCGUGGGGCAGCGGAUACUUAGCUUGCUAAGUAUGCCGGCGACCGGCGCACGGGUGAGUAACGCGUACCGAACCUGCCCAUCACACAGGGAUAGGCUUGCGAAGGCAAGAUUAAUAUCUGAUGGUCUCAAUUUUAUGCAUGUAUGAUUGAGUAAGGCCUUCGGGCGGUGAUGGAUGGCGGUGCGUCCCAUUAGGAAGUUGGCGGGGUAACGGCCCACCAAUCCUUCGAUGGGUAGGGGUUCUGAGAGGAAGGUCCGCCACAUUGGAACGGAGAUACGGUCCAAACUGCUACGGGAGGCAGCAGUGAGGAAUAGUGGUGAAUGGGCGAGAGCCUGAACCAGCCAAGUAGCGUGCGGGAUGAAGGCCCUUGUGGUAGUAAACCGCUUUUAUCAGUGAAUAAAGUGCACCACGUGUGGUGUCAUUGCAGGUAGCUGAAGAAAAAGGACCGGCUAAUUCCGUG